Molecule: long non-coding RNA, 396 nt
Filed under: Microcebus murinus (gray mouse lemur)
Lineage: Eukaryota; Metazoa; Chordata; Mammalia; Primates; Cheirogaleidae
Description: lncRNA (ENSMICG00000048528.1)
Source: RNAcentral
AGCACAGGCAUGCAUGGAGUCACUUGGCCAAGAUGCCUUGGCCCUGGACCAAACUGCUACGGACAUGAUGCAGCCAUCCACACAGGGCCUGAGGGGAGCUAUGAAGACUCCGCCCAGCGACAGAAGAAUGAAUAGUGACAGAUGCAGGGGAUCAUCAUGUACCUUCUGGUUUACACAAAACACAAAGCUGCUAAAGAGAAAUUUUGAAAACUCCUUAACCAGCAGCUAAAGCUGGACCUCUGAGAAGGAGUCCAGUCAGCUCCCCUGCCUCCAAGAAUGAAGAUUAAUGCCUUUAAAGACAUAUAAUAACCAAGGGCUUCACGCUUUUACUCCUCAAACAAAUAUGAAAUUCCAGAGGCAGAACUCUUGCACUCCGGUGAACCACACACUUGGUUU